ACAUGGCAUGAACAUGAGGCCAUUCCAUCUUCCCCACCAGGACGAAGAUGGGAGGUGGAGACCCUGCUGGGUUCCCUGAAAUCAUCCGUCGCCACAGCCGGAGGCACAUCUCCUAAACCAAACCAAAUGUGAACAGAGGUCUCCAACACCCAUCGAAGUAUCGGGUACAGAAAACUCGUGAACUGGAUCACAGCGGCUAUCUGUGUAAUGGAAUUCAUAGCACCAAUAAUAGCAACUGGCCUUUCUGGAAUAUUGAAUAAUCGAUCAACUUACUACAUGCCUGAUUUUUUUAUUGUUCAAAGGAUCUUUAUGAGGAGUAAACAAGAAGAGACAGUUCAUGGUCCUGAACUGGAAGAGGCGGUGCCUGGACCCC
This is a long non-coding RNA of Suricata suricatta (meerkat), 373 nucleotides long. RefSeq lists it as uncharacterized. The transcript has 3 exons. The record is from RefSeq and is a predicted model, not a curated record. Lineage: Eukaryota; Metazoa; Chordata; Mammalia; Carnivora; Herpestidae.